This 567-nucleotide precursor RNA is filed under the name Nicotiana bonariensis. RNAcentral describes it as "partial transfer RNA-Leu(UAA)". The stretch from base 1 to 367 matches the Rfam family "Group I catalytic intron", at positions 27 to 253 of the family's 253-position model. Rfam says of the family: Group I catalytic introns are large self-splicing ribozymes. They catalyse their own excision from mRNA, tRNA and rRNA precursors in a wide range of organisms. The record is from RNAcentral. Lineage: Eukaryota; Viridiplantae; Streptophyta; Magnoliopsida; Solanales; Solanaceae.
UGGAAACUUACUAAGUGAUCACUUUCAAAUUCAGAGAAACCCUGGAAUUAACAAAAAUGGGCAAUCCUGAGCCAAAUCCUGUUUUCCGAAAACAAACAAAGGUUCAGAAAAAAAGGAUAGGUGCAGAGACUCAAUGGAAGCUAUUCUAACAAAUGGAGUUAAAUGCGUUAUCAAAUGAUUAAUGAUGACCCGAAUCCGUAUUUUUUCUAUAAAAAAUGGAAGAAUUGGUGUGAAUCGAUUCUACAUUGAAGAAAGAAUUGAAUAUUCAUUGAUCAAACCAUUCACUCCAUAGUCUGAUAGAUCUUUUGAAGAACUGAUUAAUCGGACGAGAAUAAAGAUAGAGUCCCGUUCUACAUGUCAAUACCGGCAACAAUGAAAUUUAUAGUAAGAGGAAAAUCCGUCGACUUUAAAAAUCGUGAGGGUUCAAGUCCCUCUAUCCCCAAAAAGACUAUUUCACUCCCCAACUAUUUAUCCGACCCCCUUUCCUUAGCGGUUCCAAAUUCCUUAUCUUUCUCAUUCACUCUAUUCUUUUAGAAAUGGAUUUGAGCGUAAAUGGCUUUCUCUUAU